AUGGAACACGUUGAGAAUCCUGUUGAGGGUGACAAUGGAACUCCUAUGAGGAGUAAGAGACAGAGGACUGCAAAGUCUUUUGGUGAUGAUUUCAUUGUGUACCGUGUGGAUGACACACCCAGGACUAUUUCAGAAGCCUAUGCAUCUCCUGAUGCUGACUACUGGAAGGAAGCUGUUCGUAGCGAGAUGGAUUCCAUCUUAGCUAACGGUACCUGGGAGAUCACUGACCGUCCUUAUGGGUGCAAACCUGUAUGA
RNAcentral lists this ribosomal RNA (255 nucleotides) under Triticum aestivum (bread wheat). Its description in RNAcentral is "partial small subunit ribosomal RNA". The record is from RNAcentral. Lineage: Eukaryota; Viridiplantae; Streptophyta; Magnoliopsida; Poales; Poaceae.